Molecule: ribosomal RNA, 468 nt
Filed under: uncultured bacterium
Lineage: Bacteria
Description: partial 16S ribosomal RNA
Rfam family: Bacterial small subunit ribosomal RNA
Source: RNAcentral
GACGAACGCUGGCGGCGUGCUUAACACAUGCAAGUCGAACGGAAAGGCCCUGCUUUUGUGGGGGGCUCGAGUGGCGAACGGGUGAGGAACACGUGAGUAACCUGCCCUUGACUUUGGGAUAACUUCAGGAAACUGGGGCUAAUACCGGAUAGGAGCUCCUGCUGCAUGGUGGGGGGUGGAAAGUUUCGGCGGUUGGGGAUGGACUCGCGGCUUAUCAGCUUGUUGGGGGGGUAGUGGCUUACCAAGGCUUUGACGGGUAGCCGGCCUGAGAGGGUGACCGGCCACAUUGGGACUGAGAUACGGCCCAGACUCCUACGGGAGGCAGCAGUGGGGAAUAUUGCACAAUGGGCGGAAGCCUGAUGCAGCAACGCCGCGUGCGGGAUGACGGCCUUCGGGUUGUAAACCGCUUUCGCCUGUGACGAAGCGUGAGUGACGGUAAUGGGUAAAGAAGCACCGGCUAACUACGUG